Molecule: long non-coding RNA, 462 nt
Filed under: Pogona vitticeps (central bearded dragon)
Lineage: Eukaryota; Metazoa; Chordata; Lepidosauria; Squamata; Agamidae
Description: lncRNA (ENSPVIG00000011579.1)
Source: RNAcentral
AAUAUCAUGAUGAACUUGGCCAUAUUUUAUCAACACGCAGAAAUCUUCCAUGCUUUCCUAGGAUUGGUUUCUAAUUUCUCUCACACAACAAUCUACCUGGACAAACACUGCAUACGGUUUACUAAAGGGAGGGGAAGAUACUGAUGUCACUGCUUAAAAGAAGAAAAUAGUGGAAUGCUGAGGUUAUAGGUUUCAACACUUUUUGACAACAAGCAUGUGUAUAAUGGGCAUAGCCUUGCACUAUGUGGGAUUCUGAAGUUUUGCUGCUGAAUACCAACUUUGGAAGGAAUAUUUCACAGAAUGCUCUCACAACAUGGGAACAAAGCUGUUGUUUGGAGACAAUUCCAAAUGCGUUCUGCCAGCAUAUAAUGUUACAAUUUUAAUGAGACCCAUGUAUUGGCACACAGACAGCAAAAACGAAAUUCAUCCUACAGAAUUUUAAUCUCCAGUACAACAAAUCUU